AAGACUGUGAUUUUUAUUUUCUAUGUAUGCUUGAUAUCUUUUUAAAUGUUAUUGUGUGUAUUUUAAUUUUAUGUUGCCCGUCAAAUUUCAGUGAAAAAUGAUUUAAAAUAAAGUUUUUACGCGAUUAUUACUUUUCACUUAAAGUGAAUAGUAACUCGUGUUUCCGGCGAUGACCGAGGAAAGAGAUGGGCUUCGGGCGCGAAUCGGACUCCGUUCUGGGUGAUCCAAUAGCUCAUAUUCAUGGUCCGACUGUGCCGGAACCAAUGGCACUAACGGAUUUUAUGUUCGGUGCACGGUUUGCGAGAAAAUAGGUUUUUAUCGCUGUGAGGGCUUUUACUUCACAUUGAAUUUGCUUUUUCGUCGCGAUCGGCGCUCUGUUUUGCGUGGAAUCUUAUAAGCGGGGAUCUUUCUGUGAGAGAAAGCUGUCGGAGAGGGAUUGGAACGCAAUUUUUGAGAGUUGAGGGAGUUUUGGUGAUUAUUCCCAAGACUUUUGGGAAUAUAUGUUUAAUGUAUAGAUUUGGGGUUUUUGGGAAGCCAACCCUAGGCUAUCUUCCUCCCCUUCCCUUGUCCACCUGAGAGAGGGCCCUGCUGCCGCCAUCGUCAGCCGCCGGAGAAGAAGAAGCAACUUCUUCUUUUUCUUCUCUCUCUCUUUUUGGUGCUGUGAAAGGAGGGGGAGCCCAAGCCCCCCUGUUUGCGUGCCGCUGGCCCCCGGGACGGUCGUCGUCGUCCUCCCGGACUCCAACAACCCUUACCUGGCGCCCCCGUGCCUCGCCUGAGUCGUUGCUGCCGCGGGUUUCUCCUUUCGAGUAGCUCGGGCCGAGGUAAACCGAGCCUUCUCCAGCCAUGGCUGCCACCUCUGCCAACCCCCGGCGCCGUGGCUGCCGCCUCUGCCAACCUCCGGCGCCGCCUCCUCCAGCCUCAGAUGACUCGCCGCCGCUGCCUCGUUGCUUCGCCGCCGCCGCCGACGUCAAGCCACCCGAGCCGAGACCUCUUCUUUUGCUGGCUGCCUUUUUUGUUUCGCCGCUGCCACGGCUUCCUGCUGCCAGCCAGGGGGAGCAUGAGGCUGCCCUGCCCCUCUGUAUCCAACUCUGGCCGGCGCGCGUGCCGCUAUGCUGGCGGUGGUCGACCGGAGGUGGGUUGAUCCCUGUAUGGCUGACCUAAGGCUCAAAUGUGGCCAUGUUGCUAUUUCGGCCAUCUAGAGCCAUCUUGAACCUUCAAAAAGUGAGCAUGUCGUGCUCACCACGGAUGUUCCUGGGAAAGCUUCGUUUCAUUGCGGUGCCAUCAUUGCUCCCAGUGGACUUACUUCGAAGCACUUGUCAUUGCUUCGACGCGCUCCUCGACCGUCGAUUGCACUCCGGACAGCGAGCACGAGCUUCAUCUCAUCGAGACGAAUCAAAUUGGAUGGUUGGUUCGAUUUGUUGUAACGCAGAUUGGGGUCUGGUCAGCGUCCCUUGCCUUGCAGGAGCUAGACGUGGCGACGGACACAAGUGGGUACUCUAUUCCAUACUUUGAGCUCUUCGCCACAUGACUUCGACUCUUACUCUACUUAGUAUACUCUCUCGUUUGCCAUGACAUAGAAGUUGAGCGGUAGUGACACUUGCAUUUAUAUUCCUGUUGACCAGAGUGGUCGGUUCCCCUCUACCUUUGUCGUUGUUGAUCUGAGAGGUCGGUUCUCGUGGAUACACCCUAGUUGACCAGAGUGGUCGGUUCUCCUAUAUUUUUAGUGUUGUCGACCUCAUACUUUCUUGUUGACCUGAGUGGUCGGUACUUGCAUACUUGAGAGGAUGUUGAGCUUGUCCAUCCUAGUUGGCUUGAGUGGUCGAUGCUUGUGUUCCUGUACAACUUAGAUGACCUGUUAGUCGGUGUGCCCCGAGGGACGGUGAUUGUCGGCCAUUCACCAAUGGUUGGCCAUUGAUCUUAUUCGUAUCGAUCACCAUGCUUCACAGUAUUUCAUGAAUACCAGCAGUCUGAUUCCCCGCAUGAGAGUAUUCUUUUUCAAAAAAGUGGUUGGUUGCCAACUCCUGAGCCCAGCGGCCAUUUGCUAGGGUUAUAUGCCAGACAGAGCGGUUGUGAUUUGCCUGAGGUCCUUAACCGACACAACGGUAUAGAUUGGGUAUACUUGUGCUAUCAGUUGCAAUUGACGCAUAGUCAUUUCUCUAUCUUCCUUAUGGUAGCGGUUAUUCAUACCAUUAUUACGGUUGUUUCCAGUUCAGUUAUUAUUCUAUUGCACUAGUUUAACUAUUGAUUAUAAUUGAUCGUCGCUUUAUUAUCUCAUUUUACAGUAGUAGCUUCUUUGGUGAUUACCGGUGGAUAUUAUUCAUUGUCAUCAUGCCCGAUUUACUUGUUACUACUGCUGUUUACCCAUCCUUUUGCCGAUGGGUACAGUUUGCCUUCGUCGCCUUGUGGUGCCCAUUGGGAGGGGGAGACUUGUUUACAUGUUCUUAUCCCCCACUUUUCCAAGUAGCUUGGGCGGUGAGGGUUGGGACGGUGCGUGAGGACGUAGAUAAUGGGCUUGUGAUAUAGGUCCCGACUUACGGUAUCAUCUUUGGAUUCUUCUCAUAUUUUAUACAUAUCAGUAGAUAGACAUUGUUGAUAGUUCAGAUUCUACCCCUUUCCACCUGAUAGUAGGUGGUUCAGUUGGUGUUUUAUACUUGCGGGUUUUGGAUGAUGUAUUUAUGUGUUUUGGAUACUCAUGGUUUUGAUCAUUCGUGAUUUUUGAACACAUGUGGUUUUGGAUUCAGAUUUCUACCGAUGGUUUUCUAACCCUCGUGGUAGGCAUUUUUAAAAUAAUGGUUUCCAUGUGAAAAACGUUUUUAAAUGACUUUUUCGAGGUUUUACGCAAAAUUAGAAUUUCAAAGUGAAACCUUCAUGUGGAAGGCGCUUUCAACUAGUAGGAAUGAAUGUGAAAUUGAUGUGGAAUGGUUGUGACUAAGGAUGGCUAGUUGUAUGAUGUGAUAUGAUAAUAUUUGUGACUCGUGAUUGUUGUUUGUGUGGGUAGAGGUCAUGGUUGACAAUUGUACAUAUGCCACGUCGUACAAAUACAGAGGAAUUAUGUCCGGUUGUUUCGAAAAUUUUUUGUAUUUGUGGCGGGUCUAUUGCACCUUUAGGGGUCAAGGUUUUAAUUAAAAAAAAUGGACAGUUUUCUGCUUAUUCUGAUUUAUAAAGAUAGUCCGAUUUCGAAUUGGCUUUCAAUAUGGGCCCCCGGGGCGUGACACGUAUCCCCUCAGAUACGUCUACUGUACUGUACAGCGCCUGGGCGAGCAUUAAAUGCGGUCCCGCCAGGUUACGCAACCUCCUAGUCUUUGGAAUUCAAACCAAAUUGCUUGUGCUAUUCGCUAGCUCCGAUGUUUAUUGUUCGACUUUUCCAAAAUAAAUAUUUUGAAGCUAUAUUAGAUAGAAAACGCGUGGCAACAAGCAUAAUGGUGUAACGCGAAGGAAAACGGUGCAACAACACCCCAAACAGUGCAGUACGCGAAAAAUUCUAGAAUGCAACGAGUAUAUUAGUGACGUGGCGUAACAAACCAAUCAAAUUAAUCCUUUUAAGAAUAUAUGUCCCAUCAUGAUUGUAAAAAAAUAUUUUUAUCGUACUUUUGUUUGAAAAGAAGGAAUGUGAUUGGCUUGUUAUUGAUGACGUGGUGCAAGUGUGACAGUGUAGAAUUCCUCGCAGUACGCACCUCAUACCAGUGCAACUCUUUCCGUUUAUAGUGCAAUGUAGUGUCAACCAAUGCAAUAUAACACUCCCCCGUCAGUCAAUUUUCUUCUGCUCUUCCAACUAUCCCCUUUCCUAUCAGUCAACCAGUGCAAUAUGACAUUCCCUAUUUGGAAGGGAAUGUUUUCCUAUUUUGGAAGGAUAUUGCACUCUUUCUUCUUUUCUUAUUUUUUUUUUAUAUAUUAGAUAAGAAUUUCGUUUCUCAAAAAAAUGGUAGCUAUAAUAAUAACUCGUCAUUUAUAUAUUUCAAGUCAUUUAAUAUAUAUACUUUUUAUGCAUUUUGAAAGAGUGAUAGUUUGGCCAUCUUUUUAAAAAUCGGAUUGAAUCUGCAAAAUUCUAAAAGGUGGACUAUAUUUGCAAAAGUCGAAAAUCAAUAGAUUUUUUUAUAAAAAAAGGCCUUUUUUAAUUAUGGAAAAAAAUUAUAUUGAAGCAAAUGUAGUUGUUAAAUAACUUAUAUUUAUACUAGUUUAGGGGUCCCGUGUGAUGCGGCGCGAAGAUAAUACAACGGUAAAUUAUUAUAACUAUUAAUAUUAUUUUUUUUCUCUCUUAUGCAUUAAUAUUUUUAAAUAUUAUUUAUCUCAGUAUUGAAUAAUUAAAAAUAAAAAAAUAAAAAAAUGAAAUUAAAGUAUAUUUCUUUCUAAAAAUAUUUAAACCUAAUAAGUAAAAUGAAUAAAUCAAUUUAAAAUAAAAUGAAAACUCAUUACAGUAUUAAGAAAGAUAAUAUUUUUCUAUUAUCAAUAAAUAAAUAAAAAUACAAUAAAAAAAUAAAAAAUAAAAAAAAUGUGUAAAGUACAAUAUUUUCGUACGUAAUAUUCAGGGACGAGGCCAUGUAUAGGCCCACAAUGGCCAUGGCCCCCCCAGAUUUUUUAAAAUUACAAAAAGAUUUAGUAUUAAGUUGUUGAACAAAUUGAAAUAUAAUAACUUUUGGGGACCAAAAUGAAAUUGUUUUGAAAAUUAAAGGUUGCUUGUGGGCUAUGCAUGACGCAUGCAGCAAUGAUGGCCAGCCCCUAGGCGCCACCUGCCUGCUCACCCGACGCCCGCCUCGGCGCUUCCUCCCACACCACAAUCCACACGUAACCCCACACACACUCUCUCUCUCUCACAAUAAUCCACAUUUCCACUCCCACUACGUAACCACACACACACACUCUCUCUCUCUUUCUCUCUUUCUCAGUUCCACACUUUCACUCCCUCUCCCAGGCUCAGAGCUCUCAAAUUUCAAUAUCUCUCUAGCUCGCCGGACCGCCAGGCACCGGUCGCCGGUGGUGCUCGCCCGAAUCGCCGGACCGCCCGGCGCCGGCCGCGGGCCGCCGGUGGUGCUUGCCCCUCACCUCUCGGGCUUGGCGCCUCGAACUACGCGGCUACACCUCUCCGGGCUUUCAGUUUCUCUUGAAUAAUUUAUUGGUGUUAUGUCAUUGUGACUUGUGAGGUAUGCCCUUGAUUUAUUUCUUGUUGUUUGUUCAAGCGUUCAACUAUUUAAGUAAUUAUUAAUUUAUUAAUAUGCAUGCUCUGAUAGUAUGAUGCAGUGAUGCUCAAAUGAAAUGUUCAAUUCUAGUUCCAAAAUGCAUGCUCCAAAAGUACUAUAGACUGUAGUAGAUGUAGAUCCAAAAUUUUGAAUUUGUAUGAGUUUCUUCCUUAUGAUCAAGAGCUUUUUCUCUUCUCGACCAGCUAUUAGUAAAAUAAUUAGUAUUUGCAAUUUAUUUUUAAAUUUCAUUUUUUAUAUAGUUUUACAUGAUUUGCAAAUUAUCUUAUAUAAAUUAGAUCUUAAUACUUGAUUUUUUUGACAUAAUUUUUGUAGAUAUCUAGACCGUUAUUGUUUUAAUGGGAAAGACAACUACACUCGAUUCUUUUUUUAAAAGAAAAAAUAUUGAAAACUCGGAAGCUAAUAAACAAGAAGAUAUUUAUAGAGAUGAGGCUAUGGGUUCCCAAAGUUGUCGUUUGAAAUCUCCAAGAAUAGAAGUUAAAGAGGCUAAUAACAUGUCUUUUGAGCGUAAUCCUGGAUUACGACCUCAAAUUUGGAAUUAUCCUGUAGAACAACGUGAUGAAGUUCGACGAGCAUAUAUAAUCAAUGGUCUAUAUCAACCGAGACUUUUGGAAUAUCCAAAAAGUGGGCCUCCUUCUCAUCAACGUUGCUUUCAACCUUCAUGGUUUGAAUCAUUCAAAUCGUGGUUAGAAUAUUCUCCAAUCAAAGAUGCCGCAUUUUAUUUACCGUGCUUUCUUUUUAACAAACCACAUGGGCAUUCUUCACAAAAUGCCUUCACUGUUGACGGUUUCAUAAUUGGAAGAAAGUGAAAGAUGGAAAAAGAUGUGUUUUUCUAAAUCAUAUAGGUAGAGAACCAAACUCGCCUCAUAAAGUUGCCGAAAAAGCUUGCGAAAACUUGAUGAAACAAUCUCAACAUAUUCAAAAUGUGCUUCAUAGACAUACAUCACAACAAAAGGCAGACAAUCAUUUACGCCUUAAAGUAUCAAUAAUUGCAGUUAGAUAUCUUACUUUUCAAGGAUGUGCUAUGAGAGGUCGGGACGAAAGUAAAGAGUCUAUUUAUCAGGGUAAUUUUCUAGAAAUGUUGAAGGUGUUCUCUUUUCUUAAUGAAGAUAUUGCAAAGGUUAUUUUAGAAAAUGCUCUGCAAAAUGCUUCUUAUAUUUCGUCAGAUACGCAAAAAGAAAUUUGCAAGUUCUAGCGGAGAAAGUAAGAAGAAAAAUUCUAGAUGAAAUUGGCGACUUGAAAUUUUCUAUAAUGGUUGAUGAAGCUCGCGAUGAGUCAAAAAAGGAGCAGUUAGCUAUCAUUUUGAGAUUUGUUGAUGUACAAGGUUUUGUUCAGGAAUGAUUUUUUGGUCUUAUUCACAUCUCGGAUACUAAAGCAUUAACCAUGAAAAAUGCAAUUUAUUCCGUUCUUUCUCAUUAUAGUCUUGAUGUUCAAAAUAUUCGUGGCCAAGGUUAUGACGGGGCGAGUAAUAUGAGAGGUGAAUGGAAUGGAUUACAAGCAUUAAUUUCUAAUGAUUGUCCCUAUGCUUACUAUAUCCAUUGUUUAGCCCAUCGUCUCCGAUUGGCUUUGGUUGCGGCAUCUAAAGAUAUUCUUGAGGUUUAUGAAUUUUACUCAAAAUUAAGUACUAUUGUCAACAUUGUUGGAUCUUCUACCAAGCGAAAUGAUGAACUGAAAAAGCUUCAUAGUAUUGAAAUUGCAGAACUGAUUGAAAACAAUGAGCUUAAGACAGGAACUGAACUCAAUCAAGUUGGCACGUUGCAAAGGGCUGGUGAUACUCGUUGGAGUUCACACUUCAAAUCUAUUACAAGUUUGCUAAGAAUGUUUAAGGCAACAUGUACAGUUUUAGAGAAUAUUAUUGAUGAAGGAUCCAAUGCAUUUCAACGUGGUGAAGCACAUUUAGCUCAUAAGGCAAUGACAUCUUUUGAAUUUGUGUUCAUCUUACAUCUCAUGAAAGAAAUAACGGAGGUGAUCUAUAUUUUUUGUCAACAUUUGCAACGUAAAUCUCAAGAUAUUCUUAAUGCUAUGCAUCUUGUGGCAUCAACAAAAUCACUUAUUCAAAAGCUUAGAGAUGAAGGAUGGGAUUCUCUUUUUGACAAAAUAAAGUUAUUUUGGCGAAGUAUGACAUAGAAGUUCCAAUUAUGUCUGCUCCUUACGUGGGAAGAGAAGGUCGUGCUCGCCGUCAACGAGACCAUAUUACACUUAGAGCAUCACUAUCGAGUUGAUAUUUUUAAUGGUGUAAUAGAUUGUCAAUUGCAAGAAUUAAAUACAAGAUUUAGUGACAAUAUGAUUGAAUUACUCACUCUAAGUUGUGCUUUGGAUCCUAAAGAUGGUUGCAAAUCUUUUAAUAUUGAUGACAUUUGUAAUCUUGCGGAAAUGUAUUAUCCUCAAGAUUUUAGUGAGUUUGAAAGAGAUGGGUUGAAAAUAGAGCUUCGUCAUUAUGAAUUUGAAAUUUUUUGCGACAUUCCGACUUGCAAAAAUUGACAACUAUUUCUGAAUUAUGUCAAUAGUCGGUGGCAACAAGAAAGUCAGAAAUAUAUCCACUUCUCUACCGAUUAGUUAAACUUGUAUUACUUCUUCCAGUUUCAACUAUAACUACUUAACGGGCAUUUUCCGCAAUGAGUAUUAUCAAAACCGAUCUCCGGAAUAAGAUGGAUGAUGACUUUCUUAUUAAUUCUUUGAUCAUGUAUAUUGAAAGAGAAAUUGCCGAGACGUUUACUAUUGAUUCAAUCAUUGAUGGAUUUCGUGACCUGAAGGAGCGCCGAGCACUAUUCUAAUUUUUGUAUGGUAAGUAAAAUUUUUUAAAUUUUAUUUUGUAUUUUUAUACUUCAAAUUUUUAUUAUAUAUAGUUUGCUUUAUUAAUAUGUUUUGCAUAAUAUAUUUUUGGCCCCCGCCAGAAUUAAAUCCUGGCUUCGUCCCUGCACUCGGUGCAACAAUAUUCUAUGUGACUCGUCCCCGUCUAGCUGCCUCUCUCACUCUAGAGUUCGCCGCAUCUACUCCCUCUCCAACCCAACCCUCUCACAUGCUGGCUCCUCCAUUCCAUCUCUUUAUUAGAUCUUAGCCGCCGCCCACUUCUUCCUCUCCCUUAUUAGCCGUUACAUAUUUAGCUACCUUUUAUGAUAUAUAUUUGUUCACACAUUUUGAUUUAUUUUUUCUUUUUCUUUUUCUCUCUAUGCUUUUUGCUUAUAGAUAAUAUGUUUGAGUAAUUAAUACAAGCAACAUUCCACGAUAUGCUUGCUUACAAUUUAAUCAGUUAAUUUGCAAAUAAUUUGUGAAUUAUUAGAAAACUGAAUAAAAUAGUCUUUUAUAUAUAUAUUUUUAAAAAAUUUAAAUAAAAAAAUAUAUUUUUUAAUUUAAAGUUUUUACUCGUAAGAUGGUCGUACGCUCGUCUCCCACCCUCUCUCAAAAAGAAAAAAAAAAAAAAAAAAAAAAAAAAAACUCCUCGCUCGAAACUAUUUGCCCUAGCUCUCGCCACCCCGCGCCGCUCGCCAUCGGAAGUUCGGAUUCUGCAGAACCCUCCCCGCCCCGGGCCGCGCACCGCUCGCCAUUGGAAGCCCCCGCGAGGCCGAGCUCUGCUCGCCGUCGGAAGUUCGGAACCCCCCCUUCCCCCGGCCGCGCGCCGCUUUGCCGUCGGAACCCGCGCCGCUCGCAAUCUGGUUCCGACACUACUAGUACUAUUUUAUUCUCUGUUUUUCAUGAUUUUACUUCUUGUUAUGGGUAAACAACUCGUACCAUUUAAUGAGGAUAAUUUACACAUAUGACCAGCUUGCUUCGUAAUUUUACUUAAUCUGUUUAAUUUUGUAGCUCUUUAUUUUUAUAUUCUUAAGAAUUAUGAGUAUUUAUGCUAAUAGUAUAAAUCUAAAGAAAAAAAGUUUAAUUUAAUAGCUGAAUUUUUGAUUCCGAAUUUUUAAUUGGUGAACGUAUAAUUUCCGUAUAAAUUGUCGUAUCCGAAUAAUCGACCAAUCCGUUUUUUAAGCCGUAUUUUUCAAUGAAUUUAAAAAUUGGGAUAUGAAUUUUAUUCUUAUAUGCCCUUACCGAAUUUUUGCCGAAUCCGAAUUAACUAACUAUGGUUUAGAUGCACAUUGGAGAUUUUAUAAUUAACAUUGCUUCGAAAGUGGCUUUAAAAUGGUUAAUCAAAUCUGACUUGGGGCAGAGAAAUUGGCUAACCGGUUUGCCCGACCUUUGCUUGCCGGUUUGGAACUGGAACCGGAAAUCCAGUUUCCAGUAGAGUGGGUUGCAAGACCGGUUCCGGUUUUGCCUGAACCAGUUAAGAUCGCUUCGAGACAAAAAUUCUGAAACCAGUCUGGUUAACGGGACCGGGAAUUGGCAUGUGCUUACAACUUAGUUGUUUGAUAACAUCUCACUAGUAUUAAAAUAAUGAUAAAAGUGUAUCCAAACUUGCGUAAGAGUAGUUGCUUAUCUUCCUGAAACCAGAAAUAACAAUCUAAGGAUAAAACACUUGGAUCCACCCAAUCAACUUCAGCUUUCCCAACAGACCUUUAUAAUUACUGAACAAAACCUUAUGAUCCAACACCUGAAGGAAAACAUUGAAGCAUAUGUACUUUAUCGUCUAAUCAAGAAAUAAAUUUAUAGUGAAAGCCUUGUGCCACAGAAAUUCAGGCACCUUGCAAUAGCUAUGAAUUCCUUCCAAUAUGCACCAGAGUGUAACCACGGAAAUAAACUUUCAAAUUUCAAUAUCACUCUCUAGUGGAAAUUUCAUGAAUGUACGGAAUAUAGAAAACCUAAACCAUUUGCUAACAUCAAGUAGGCUCAGUUCAUCUGAGUGAUCCUUGGAGUUGUCAGUCUAAUUGGUGUCAUAUCGACCAAAAAGAUUUAGAUAAAUUUUUCUAUCAGUACGGGAGAGAAGCUGAUCCCAACAUUUUACAGCCCACCAGUUUCUUGAGUAAUUUUACAGCCCACUAGUUUUUUGAGUAAUUUUAUAGCCCACUAGUUUUUUUAGUAAUUUUAUAGCCCACCAGUUUCCCGAGUAACUACAUCGAAAUGAUUAUAUCAUUUAAGCCAUUGGUAAAAACAAUAUAUACAUUCAUGAGUAGAGGAAAAUCCCUAAUAUCUUAGAUCCAAUCCAUCUUUUAAUAAUAUAUGUAUUAAACAAAGUAGAAGAAUAUCUAUCCCAAGUCAUCUCUACUGGAACUGUGAAAUAGGCUUAUUUUUCUCAUAUUUUCUAUACAAUUUUGCACAAGCAGGUAGUUUUAAUUAUCUCAAAAGUGCAUAAAGAGACUGAUUUCUUCUAAACGAAUUAAAAUCUCCACCAAGUAAGCUUUAUAUUCCAAGCUAGCAGCAAACCAACUUGACAUGACCAACCAAUGACUUAUUGAUAGGUUUUGUUACUAAAAAGGAUUUCCGUGAGUUCUGACAUAGUCAAAUUUUCAAUAUACAAUAGAAACUUGAUACUAUGCACUUCUAUUAAGCUUUCUUUGUAGGGGCUUUGCUAUGUUAAAGAAAUUAUGUUUGGUAAUUUAGAGAGUUGAAUUAUCACUUUAAUUAGAUUUAUGAUUGCAGAAAAUGGUGUCAAAAAUAUAGUUUAGUUUCAAAACACUCAGCCAAUAUGUCUAAAUUCCAAUGUUGAUGAAAGUCCUAAUUAUAAAAGUUAUAUCUACAUGCUGGUGAGAAUCCUAAUAAGAAAAUCCGAAUAAGAACGACUCUUAACAGGUUCAUGAUUAAUACAAUUUAUAAACUUAUGAAUGGGAACCAAUAAAGCUGCUUUACAUCCCACGGAAAAAGUGGGACCUACCCUGAAGAAAAACGUAAAGCUACAGUAAAAAAGGCGGGGCUCACUUGCCUUUUUGCAUGCGGUCCACGAGGUGGGCUUCACCUCAUGGACCGCCUGAGAGAGAGAGUAGUGGACCUCUCUCUCACUCUUUGAUCAUGGUCCAUCAUAAAACGAAUAAAAUCAUCCGUUUACGAACCUUUCCCAAAAAAUCGGAAUAAAACGCGAAUUUUUCUGCUGCUCAAAGUAUUCGCGAGCAAAACGGCUUAGCUGAAUUAUAUUUGGAAAAAUUUGGAGUAGGCGACUGCAAAACGAUGAAAUUUCUCGAAAAAAAUCGGAUUGGGCGGCUGCGGAAAGAUGAAAUUUCUCGGACUGGUGUUGUGUGACCAUCGCUCCGCAGAUCUGUGCAUCUCCACCCGAGCAGUCGACCAACCCUACCUAUUCGAUUUUGAAAAAAACAUGAAGAUGGAGGAGCGACAGGGAAGAAGAAAAGAAGAGGGGUGAGGAACGAAAAAUCGCGGCGUAGGGGCGGAGGAUAAAAACGCGGUCCAUGAGGCUGAGGGCAGCCUCGUGGAUCGCGUGGAGUGGUGGACCUCUCACUCCCUCCCCCUUCGAUAUAUUAUAUAUAUAUAUAUAUAUAUAUAUAUAUAUANCUUUUAUAUAUAAUAUAGAUAUAUUAUUUUAUAAUUUUUUAUUUUUAUGUCCUUAAGAAUAAUAAUUAUUUAUGAUAAUAGCAUAAAUUUAAAGAAAAAUUUUAAUUUAGUAAACGAAUUUUUAUUCCGAAUUUUUAAAUGAUAAAUAUAAAAUUCUCAUAUAAAUUGCAUAUACGAAUUAUUGACGACUUCGAUUUUUUAAACUGUAUUUUCAACGAAUUUAAAAAUCAAGAUACAAAUUUUAUUCGUAUUAUAUCCGUACCGAAUUUUUACCGUAUCCGAAUUAACGAACUAUGGAUUAUAUUAUUAUAUAUAUAUAAUUUUACUUUUUUUAUUUGUAAAUUCUACGCUGAUGAUAAUAGAAAAAUAUUAUGCAUUUUUUUUAAUAUUACAAUGAGCUUUUUUUAAAAAUUUUAAACUGGUUUAUUUAUUUUAGUUAUUUAGUUUAGAUAUUUUUAGAAAGAAAUAUACUUUAGUUUUAUUCUUUAAUUUUUAAUUGUUCAAUAGUGCUUGCCGCAUUGCGCGGUUUCUUAACUAGUAUAUUAUAAUAGAGGGACAAAUGAUAAUAUAAUAUAAUAUAAUAAUGUUUAAUAAUAAAUAAUAAAUAAAAGUAACUAUGAUAUAUUAUAUGUUAUUAUAUAUAAGAAUAUAAGAUUAGCAUAAACAAAAUUUUUUAUAUAGGGUUAAUUGCAUACAGGUCCCUGCAAAUAUUGUGAAUUGCAGAUAUAUCCCUGCAAAAUUCAACUUUCAUAAGUUAUCUCUGCAAAAGUCCUAAUGUAUUCAGAUAUGUCUCUGCAGUUAGAAUCCAUUAAAAAAAUUUAGUUAACCGCAGUUAAAAUACUUAACCAUAGUUAAUUAAUGAGGUAAAUUGACAAUUUUACCCUUUUUCUUCUUUCUCUUCCUCUUCCUUUUCUGCUCCUUCUUCUUCUUCUUCUUCUUCUUCGUAUCCUCCUUUUCCUCCUCUUUUUCUCUUCCUUUUUUUUCCUUUUCCUUUUCUUUCUUCGAAUCGGCCACACCUUCACCCUCCGCCUCGUCGUUGCGGGCUUCAACCUCAUCCUCGUCAGCCGCAACUCUGACAAGCUCCGCGACGUCGCCGUCCACUUCGGCAACCCGAAAAGAAAAAGAGGAAAUGGGACAUUUGUGAGGGCAUUUUUGCAAACAUAUACCAGCUGGAGCUUUUGGAAUGACAUUUGUGAGGGCAAAAAUGUCAUUUCACGAACCUACUGUUAAAAAAUAAACAAUUCUCUAACGGGUGCUAACCAGAGGGACGUAUCUGAAUACAUUAGGACUUUUGAAGGGAUGACUUAUGAAAGUUGAACUUUGUAGGGAUAUAUCUACAAUUCACCAUGUUUGCGGGGACUUGUAUGCAAUUUUAUAUAUAAAGAGGAAUGAAGCGUGAAAUCUCCUUGUUCUAUGUGUGUAACGACCUGAUCUGCUAGCAAUAAUAACUCGUUGGGUUCAAACCACCGGCCCAAAAUGCUUAAGCUUAGUUAGUAUGUUUAGCCCAAUUAAACUUAUAUACUCCCACAUCUAGCCAUAACUAUCUGAUGUGGGACUAGUUAGGUGUCACAAACUCCUCCCGUUUAGGCUCUGACGUCCUCGUCAGCCCUAAACACACACAUAGCCCAAGAUCACUAGGCGAUGUGAGACUUGUCUCGCUAGCUUUUGUCAUUCUGACUCUGACUUAGCCUGUUAAUCACUGACUCUGGCUUAGUCUGUCAUUCCGACCCUGGUUCAGCCAAGACUCAUCUCUCGGCUGGUGAACUGGCUCUGAUACCAAAUGUAACGGCCCAGUCUACUAGCAAUAAUAACUCAUUGAGCCCAAACCGCCAGCCCAAAAUGCUGAAGCCCAGUUAUUAUGUCUAGCCCAAUCAAGCUUAUAUACUCCCAUAUCUAGCCAUAACUAUCCGAUGUGGGACUAUUGAGGUGUCACAAUGUGUUUCCAAGAACAACUCUUAACGGGUUGCUCUUGAACAACCUGCAUUGACUAGAACCAAGUUUCUCCACUUUUUGAUUGUGCUUGGGUGUUGACUGGGGGACAUGGCCUUUAUUACUGGGAUAUCCCUCAACCAAACAAUGCCUAUGAUAGCUACUAUAUAGAACAAAUACGUAACCGAUAGUUGGCUUGACAUUUUGAAGUAAAAUGUAGAUGUAUUAUAGUGUAAUAAGGAGUACUAAAAAUUUUAGGUUUAAGUACUCAAAUUUUUGUAAUAGCUUUACUUGCUGUUCUUGUGAUACAAUUUUCACAUUGUCUUUUCUAAUAAUUUUUGCAUACAUAAUAACUUUGCCCUCACUCAAAUCUUUCAUGUCAAAAUUCUGUGUUGAUAAACUUUUAACAUAUUAGAUCAUAUUAGUGCUGCUUUCAUAUAUUAAUAUAUCAUCCACAUAUAGACAUAUUACUACAACCCAGUGUUUUAAAAAGCGUGAGGCGCAGAAAGGCGCAAAGCCCAUCUGGAGCCUAAGCGCGAGGCACACCAUGAGGGACGCGCCUCAAGAAGGUGAGGCGCAUAUUUAAUAAAAAUAAAACAUUCUUAACUAGCCUAGUUUAAUUGAUGUUCUAUAUAAAGAUUCCAAAACAACCAUAAAAAAGCAAAAUAAUCGUGAAAAAGCAAAUCACAUGCAUAACUGUUCUCAAAGAGUCCAAAAAGGAAAUUAAGAAGAGAAUCAAAUAAAGAAUGCAAAAAGGGAAUCACACACAUGCAACUGAAAGUAAGAAACAGAAGAAUUGUUGCGCACCAAUUCAAAGAAAUAUGAAGUAAAAGAAAAAAACCUUAUGAAAACAUCAAAUCCCAUCAAAAGAACUAAAAAAAAUUCAAGAUAGAAAUUUUUUUUUAGAGAAUUGGAGUAUAGAGACCACACCAAAAUUGCUGUUGCUUACUAUUGCGUUGCUGCCUACCGCUGCUACAUUGUUGCCAACUUGCCAUUGGAGAGAGAUGGGAGGUGGGGAGAACAAAAGAGAGCGUACCGCUUCUGCAUGUUGCCAACUUGCCAUUGGAGAGAGACAAAAGGUGGGGAGAACAAGAGAGAAAGAGAACAUGGAGAAAGGAGAAAAAGAUUCUCAUUAGGAUUUUCUAAAUCCUUUUAUGGGUUAGAAUAUAUUGAUAAUGUCACGCUCCGGGCCCACAGCAGAAGCCUUCGGGCAUGCUAACAGAUCCGCUACACGUGCAAGGACGCACCCCGCACACACGAAGCGUCCAAAACUCUGUCACAAGUAAGCAACAGACUUAGGAGUCAACAACUAAGCGCGUCCUAGGAAUCCACAAACAAAUAGGUACCAGGGUCUGAAAACUAUAAAAGUUUUACAAGCACUAUAUAUAUAUAUAUAUACAUCCACCAGCCAUACAACUCUAGAAUAAACCAUAAAUACAUACAGAACUCCUUUACUGGCCUCACCAAUUCAUUCAUGUACAGUGUGCUAUAAAUAAUACCACUAUUUGGGUCCUCUAGUAGUCGCUACCUCGGUUAGGAGAAGCUAACUAUUACUCAGUCCUCUUAGCUCGAUCAAUAUCUAGAGCUGAGGGCUUUGAAAUAGAAAAACAACAAGGAUAGAGCGUGAAAACUACUGAACAGUAGUCUCCAGUGGGUACAAUCGACGACCACGAUGACCUAUCCACUAUAUCUACUAAGGGCAAUAAUAGUAAAUAAACUGAGCAAAUAACAGAAGAUAAUAUUAAGCGGAAAAGAAGAAUAUUGUCAUGACUCUAAUCUAACAAUUGGAAACAGUGAAUUAGAUAUCAUGCAUCAACUAUCAUAGCAGAUGGAUAUAUGCAGUAUAACUCAAUCAUAUCGACCGGCUCAUAAGUCUGGUCAAGCCUGCGUCUGCCUUAUGUUCGGCACCAUACUGACUCCUGAUCCGCCAAUAUGCAUGCUGCAUAUCUAUAACAAUUGCUAGCCUCCAGAGGGGCACUGGAGGGGCGCGACCCUAACGAGUAUCAUAAUAACUCUAUCAAUCUCAAUGUGGCUCAUGCAGGCUAUAGUUAAUGUGAUGAUUAAAAAUAUCACUAUAUACUAUCUGAGUGCGCUUGGCACAAUCAAGUACAUCUCACUACCCAAUACUGCCGCACUGUCCCGCUACAUUUUCACUAUUUAGCGUACAACGAUAUACCUCCCGUAUAUAAAUAAAACAUGAUCAUAGCCAGUAGAAUAUCAAUCAUCUACAAAUAACUCACGUGCUAAUUAAGUGCCCACGUAACAAAAUCAUGCUGCUAUUACCACAAGCAUACUAUUAGAUAAAUCAAAGAAUUAAGCAUGCGAAAAGACGGGAUAGUUCACUGAGUUCGGUGAAAUGGAACCAACCUAGAUCACUACUCCAAGGAAGGUGAGAAGACAUGCUCUACACCCUUCUUAUUGAAAGCACUAAGAAAUCUCACAAGAAAUACCCAAAAAAUCACUUCUAAAAAUCAAGCAUAAAUCUACUGCUAAACCAAAUUCACUAAAAAUCCGAAUAAACCAAAAUACACCCAACACCUACCUCAAGUAUUAGCACUGGAGAAGGACCAACUCAACUCCCUUCUCCUUGCUCAAUAGAAACACUCCCCAGCUUCGAGUGAUUCCAAAGUUCCCAGCGUACCAACAAGGAGGUAGACAAUCACCCCUUGGCUCUCUCUCCGCCUGAGCUCUAACUACGCCAGGAAAGGAAAAUGAGGAAGAAGAAGAUGAGUAGAAAAACGCUUAGAGGGGCCUGGGUGUAAACAGGAAAUGCGCCAAACACCUCUCUUCUAUUUAUAGACAGGAAGGAAAAAUAUCAUAAAAGCCCUUAGAAACACAAAUGAAUCAACCUUAGCCCAAAAGCUGGGUUUUGGGCGCCCGGAGCCAACAUUUUGGUGUUGGAGGCUGUCGUAACACUGUUCAUUUGGGUGCGCCCAACUGCAAUGGUACGCCCGAAGCCGUCGUAAUAGUGCCCGGUCGGAUUCGAGUGCCCGGACCUGCACCCCGAUCCCUUGCCGAGUCACUCUGAUAGUCACUUGCGCACCGCCAUUGCCACAUCAACCUCACCCACUCUCCAGGCUGCUAUAGUAAUAAAUGGGUGCUUGGAAUUCGGCUACAGUGCAACCGGAUCCACCUACGACUCAUUCAAGCAUUCGCAAGUGGGGUUCAAAACUCUAACUCAGAUUGCCACUUACGGGCACCCUAAACAAGAUUCGGGCAUCCGAAAAGGCACCAAAAAUGUAGGCUUAGCUGAGUUUCGAUUCCCGAGUCCGUUUUUGCAGCCAUAUUGUGUUAAAAUGACUCCAACUCAGUCCAGCACUUCACAGAUGUUCUGACCAACAACUCACACUAUAACCUUGCCUACUCGCCAAAGUGCAGUACACUACAGAUAAAAUAUGACACCCAAGAAUCCAAACCCUAGACCUUUUUAACUUAAACAUCACGAGGCGUGUGCCUUAACUACGCCUCGAGCCUUGCCCCUCGCCUAAGGCAUGCACCUCAGAGCCUAGGUAUUCACCUUAGGUUCUUCAAGGCGCUGAGGCCCACGCCUCGCACCUAGGCACCGAGUUGCGCCUUUUCAAACACUGGUACAACCUAAUCACCUAUUCUUUUACUAUAAACACAUUCAUUGGUCAUAUUAGUUUCAAAACCAUUUGAAAUUAUUAGAUUAUCAAAUUUUUUUUAAUGCUAUUGUUUAGGAGCUUAAGGCCAUACCAAAAUCGACUUAAUUUGUCUACUUUCUUGUCCUGAGAUUAGAAAUCCUUUUGAUUGCACAUUAUAAAUUUCUUCUUUAGUUUGGCAUUAAAAAAAUGCAAAUUUUACGGCCGUUCUAUGUGUAAUUAAUAAAAUGAUGGAUUUUAGGGCUAAUUGCAUCUUAGUUAUUGAAGUUUUAGCUUAGGGGCAUAACGUCAAAAUAAUCGACUCCAGAUUUUGGGUAAUCUCUUUGCUACUCAUCUAGCUUAAUAUUUCUUCACUGCAUCAUCAGGUCUUAAUUUCUUUUUAAAUAUCCAUUUACACCCUAUUGGUUUAUAUACAGGUCAAUAAAUUAAACCCCAUGUUUGAUUUUUUUUUUCCCUAAUUGAUUCGUUUCCAUUUCUCAUAUAGCUUCUUUCCAAAAUUCAACGACUGUAGAUUGCAUAGUGUCCUCAUUAGGUUAAGGGUGUAUUGUCUAUCAGCAUUAUAUAAAAGUCUUCUCCAAAAUUUCUAAUAACUCUUGCUCUUUUACUUCUAGGUUCUAAAAGUCUUGUUGUUCAUUUUCUUCUCAAAGCAAAUUCCUGGAUUUGCAAUUUGAACGUUAUGCUGUACAUCAUAUUUAUAUUAGAUUUAUAUGGAAAUCUAUCUUCAAAAUAAAUUGCAUCUCUGGAUUUUAUUAUUGUAUUUUUUGCUGUUUUACUUUCAUAAUUCAUUAUUAAAAUCUAUCUGCAUUACUAUUUGUAGCAUAUCCUGUAAAAUUUGCACCACAAUUUUAUUGCCUAUUUUAUUCCCUUUAUUUUGAGGUAUCUUUACUUUUACUAAACAUCCCCACACUUUUAAGACAAUUUAAAUUAGGUUUUCUAUUUUUUUGAUAGCUCAUAAAGGGGUACUCUAUUUAAAAUCAUGGAGGUAAAAAUUAAUGCUUCCCCUACGAGUUCCUGAAUACACCAAAUUUAAAAUAAUUGAAUUUAACACAUCCAUUCUUUAUAUUUUUUCUCACAGCUACUCCUUUUGAUUGAGGUGAAUGUGGAGUUGUAACCUCAAGUAUGAU
Molecule: long non-coding RNA, 18243 nt
Filed under: Ananas comosus (pineapple)
Lineage: Eukaryota; Viridiplantae; Streptophyta; Magnoliopsida; Poales; Bromeliaceae
Description: long non-coding RNA (ACOM_LNC021001)
Source: RNAcentral